RNAcentral lists this ribosomal RNA (486 nucleotides) under uncultured bacterium. RNAcentral's name for it is "bacterial SSU rRNA". It matches the Rfam family "Bacterial small subunit ribosomal RNA", at positions 28 to 507 of the family's 1533-position model. The record is from RNAcentral.
GAUGAACGCUAGCGGGAGGCUUAACACAUGCAAGUCGAGGGGCAGCAUGGGGUAGCAAUACCCUGAUGGCGACCGGCAAACGGGUGAGUAACGCGUAUGUAACCUACCCUGUACAGGGGGAUAACCCGGAGAAAUUCGGACUAAUAUCCCAUAACAAUAUCUGGAGGCAUCUUUGGAUAUUUAAAGUUCCGGCGGUACGGGAUGGGCAUGCGUAACAUUAGCUAGUUGGUAAGGUAACGGCUUACCAAGGCUUUGAUGUUUAGGGGUCCUGAGAGGGUGGUCCCCCACACUGGUACUGAGACACGGACCAGACUCCUACGGGAGGCAGCAGUGAGGAAUAUUGGACAAUGGGCGCAAGCCUGAUCCAGCCAUGCCGCGUGCAGGAUGACGGUCCUAUGGAUUGUAAACUGCUUUUGCACAGGAAGAAACAACGCUACGUGUAGCGUCUUGACGGUACUGUGAGAAUAAGGAUCGGCUAACUCCGUG